RNAcentral lists this ribosomal RNA (253 nucleotides) under uncultured bacterium. RNAcentral's name for it is "partial 16S ribosomal RNA". It matches the Rfam family "Bacterial small subunit ribosomal RNA", at positions 524 to 776 of the family's 1533-position model. The record is from RNAcentral.
UACGUAGGGUGCGAGCGUUAAUCGGAAUUACUGGGCGUAAAGCGUGCGCAGGCGGUUUUGUAAGCCAGAUGUGAAAGCCCCGGGCUCAACCUGGGAAUGGCAUUUGGGACUGCAAGGCUUGAGUGCGGCAGAGGAGACUGGAAUUCCUGGUGUAGCAGUGAAAUGCGUAGAUAUCAGGAGGAACACCAGUGGCGAAGGCGGUGGUCUGGGCCGGAACUGACGCUGAGGAGCGAAAGCGUGGGUAGCAAACAGG